RNAcentral lists this long non-coding RNA (1686 nucleotides) under Piliocolobus tephrosceles (Ugandan red Colobus). Its description in RNAcentral is "lncRNA (ENSPTEG00000004316.1)". Lineage: Eukaryota; Metazoa; Chordata; Mammalia; Primates; Cercopithecidae. The record is from RNAcentral.
AUGCAGUUCGAAAAAGAUAUGAAUCACCCAAUAGGGUCAUAUAAUUAUUCAACUGAUUUUCUGAACAGUUCAGGUAAAUCGCCCUUACUAAAUUCAUGUUCCCAACAUUUAAAUAAUAGUUAUAAUGUUUCUAGUAAACAACAUGAUAUGAUUAAUUCUAUACUUGAGAGUUGCGUUUUAAAAUGGUUUCCUUUUUUAAAUGAAACAGACAAUGAUGACAUAAAUGAUGAUAACGAAAAUGUGCAGUACGAGCAAAACGAAAGUAGCGAAAUAGUUGGUCACAUAAAUGGGCACACAUUUGAAAACACAACUGGGAACAUGAACUGUAAGUUAAAAAACGAAAUACUACACUUGAAACAAUUUUAUAAAGGAGUAAAGUCAUGCAACUUUCCCUUAAAACAAUUAUGCAAAACUCAAAGAACAAUUUUUAAUAUAAAUGAUGAAAAUUAUGAUGAAGACGUAUUUUAUAACAGUAAUAGUAUUUAUAUGAACAUGCUAAAUGAAAAUGAAAUAAAAAGCGUUAGUGAUAGUGAUGACAAUAUUAAUAAUAACAAUAAAAAUGAAUUAUGUUGGAACAAAUUUAUAAACGCUAAAAAUAAUAGUGAUGAAAAAAAACAAGUUGAUUAUUAUGAUAGUAAUAAACAAGAAAAAAAUAAUUGGAAUGAAACUACAACAUAUUACGAUUGUAUUUCUAAGGACGAACAAGAGAAAUUUUUCAUAAUUAAUAACAUUAAUAGCGACAUGAAUAAUAAAAUAGGUAGCCAUCCUUUGUAUACCAAUAAGCACAAAAAGAAAAGCAUAAAAUCAGAAUUGUUUCAAGAAACGAACUCAGCAAUGGAUAAAGAAAAAAAAAUAACAAAUUUAACAACUAGUUCAAACGUAUCAACAAUGAAAAAUAUAAUACUAAGGCCUGCACAAAAUGAAAACACGGAAGAUAAACAAUUUUAUGACCAAACAAUGAAAAAUAAAAUAAAAAAUGAUAUAAGAGUCAUUGAUCAAGAUAGUGACAGUAAUAAUAAUAAUAAAAAUAAUGAUAACCAUACCAGUACUAAUAUAAAAUUAUUUGAUAAUAGUAAAAAUAAUUAUUAUGCAGAAAACUAUGUGAAAAAUGAUAAUACCAUGUUUACAAACGAUAUAAAUAACGAAGAAUAUACAUUAAACAAAUACAAUAUAGCAGAAAAAUUAGAAGCUAUAAAGAAAGAAAAAAAAAAUGACACAAGAAUAUACGAUACUAAUAAUAACAGCAAAAACAAUGUAAAUGUAAAUGUAAAUGCAAAUGUAAAUGCAAAUGUAAAUGCAAAUGNNNNNNNNNNAAAUGCAAAUGUAAAUGCAAAUGUAAAUGCAAAUGUAAAUGUAAAUGUAAAUGUAAAGAAAGAAAAACAGCUUAAGAUAAACAUUGGAGAAAUUAAACAAACUAUAAUCGAUAAACAAGUAAAUAAUAAUAAAACUAGCCAAGAUGUUGAUAAUACUAGUAUAGAUUAUAUUGACAUAAGCAUAAAUAACAUAAUACAAAAGAUAAAAAAUGAAGAAAUAAAAGAAAAAAAUGUAACUAUGGACUCUUAUGGUUUAAUUUAUUUAAAUAUUUGUUUAAAAGUGAUAAAUAAAAAUUUAGAUUAUUUUGAAAAACAGAAAGAAUUAAAAAAUGAAUUAUUAAUAAAUGAAAAAAAAAAAUUAAAGAAAUAUUAA